UCUGUUUAAAUGAGGCAGAAUGGGUCUUGUUGUUUAUAAUCAAGAAGCUGACCCGUUCACACAUUCCAAUUUGGGUCAGCAGGGAUUGGCCACCUAGAGAGCUGGCUGGUGAUGAAAUUAACCUCCACGGGAGCAGGAUUCUGCUCGCUCGAGCAUCGCUGUAUCUCCAGCCGAGCACAGAUGUAAGAGGUGUUCUGUGAAGUUCAGGAAAUGAUAACAUGCUUAGCCCAGAUGGCCUCGGAAAUGUGCCAGCUCAGCCCUGCAGGCAGCCAUGUUCACUGUGGACGCUUGAGAGGCCUUCUGCUUGCUGUCCUGACACUGGCAUUAGGACUACUGGCGAGAACUGAUGUUGUCUGCAGUAUGUCAGGCACUGCAGUCCAUGCUUGGCAUAAAUUAACUCAUUUUAGCCUCAUGACAGCCCUCUUUGGUGGAUACCAACAUCACCUCCAUUUCAAAGACGAGGAAAGGAGGCACAGAGAGGCUUGGUAACUUCUCCAAGGCCACAGCCGGUGGGUGGUAGAGCUGGGGCCCGAAUGUAGUCUGGCCUCGGGCCCACACCCUGAGCGCUUGUUCUGCACGUAUUUCCUCCUGACUGGGGUGAGGCCGGCAAGGCGCCGAGGGCACCACCCUUAAGGAGGUGCUCGCUCUCAGGUUCUUGUCUCAUCCUAGUCCGGGCCCUACUUCACAAUGACCGACGAGGCAGUAUUGUUUUAUCAACUGCCUUUUACAGAAGAGGAGCUAGAGAAAUCCUGUGAGGAGAGCCAGGCUUGGGCCCCAGGGGUGCCUUUCUCCAAAGCCCCUGGCUUGGCCCACAACCACGCUUCUGGUGUGCGCACACCCUUUCUGACUCACAGGCCUCCUCGCCCUUCCACAAAAGCGGCUGGGUCUGGUAUUGGUGAGAUGGUAGCUGAACCAGGAUUGUCCUCUGAGAGACUUCGCUUCCGUGUUUAAAGAACAGAAAUCAAAUCCCCGUUGGCAGAACCAAAGAGGAGAGCGAGCCCCCGCUCUUGGCGACACCUGCAGAGUACAGAGCGUGUCUUGCCUCUUCCCUGACACGAGUGGGCUGGGCUGGAGAACAUUGUCCAUUCCCCGCUGACUCCCUUUUCUCUUCCUCUGCGGGAGGCUGGUACUUCAGGCAAAUGCCUGUGGCUGUGACCUCCGCUCCUCAUUUCUCUCAGCCAGAGGCCGAGAUGGGACAAAACAUCUACACAGUGCACCCGCUUCCUUCAGGGCCGGGUGCCAGGCUGCUGUGCCCAGAAUUUCUGAAAGAUAGUCCUCUGGGGGGGGGGGUGAAUUUUGUCCCCAGUGCCAGGCGGGAGUUCCUUCAGAAGCUGUACAGUGGCCUCCUGGAGGUCAGGGUCGGGCUGAGAGUCGGUGCUUUAGGCAUCAGCGGAUGGACGGGGACUCACAGAGAGCCGGAUGGAGGAGGCAAAAGGCUCUGGAGGUCUCCCGGAGCUCAGCUCCCAGGGGG
Molecule: long non-coding RNA, 1471 nt
Filed under: Equus caballus (horse)
Lineage: Eukaryota; Metazoa; Chordata; Mammalia; Perissodactyla; Equidae
Description: lncRNA (ENSECAG00000060092.1)
Source: RNAcentral